RNAcentral lists this ribosomal RNA (402 nucleotides) under bacterium. RNAcentral describes it as "partial 16S ribosomal RNA". It matches the Rfam family "Bacterial small subunit ribosomal RNA", at positions 355 to 776 of the family's 1533-position model. The record is from RNAcentral.
UGGGGAAUUUUGCACAAUGGGGGAAACCCUGAUGCAGCGACGCCGCGUGAUUUAGAAGGCCUUCGGGUUGAAAAAAUCUUUUCUAUGGGAAGAAAAUGACAGUACCAUAGGAAUAAGGACCGGCUAAUUACGUGCCAGCAGCCGCGGUAAUACGUAAGGUCCGAGCGUUGUCCGGAAUCAUUGGGCGUAAAGGGUACGUAGGCGGGUAAGCAAGUUAGAAGUGAAAUCCUAUAGCUCAACUAUAGUAAGCUUUUAAAACUGCUCAUCUUGAGGUAUGGAAGGGAAAGUGGAAUUCCUAGUGUAGCGGUGAAAUGCGCAGAUAUUAGGAGGAAUACCGGUGGCGAAGGCGACUUUCUGGCCAUAACCUGACGCUGAGGUACGAAAGCGUGGGUAGCAAACAGG